GGAAGUAAAAGUCGUAACAAGGUUUCCGUAGGUGAACCUGCGGAAGGAUCAUUAUAGAAUUAUAAGCGAGGGUUGUCGCUGGUCCCCUCGGGGGCAUGUGCACGCCUGAGCUCUUAAAUCCACAACACACCUGUGAACCCACCGUGGGCCCUGCAAGGGGCUUGCCUCUAUAUACUCUGCAUGUCUCGUAGAAUGUCAAAUUGUUUGCCUUAAAAACGCAAUCAAAUACAACUUUCAACAACGGAUCUCUUGGCUCUCGCAUCGAUGAAGAACGCAGCGAAAUGCGAUAAGUAAUGUGAAUUGCAGAUUUUCAGUGAAUCAUCGAAUCUUUGAACGCACCUUGCGCUCCUUGGUAUUCCGAGGAGCAUGCCUGUUUGAGUGUCAUUCAAAUCAUCAACCCCGUCGAUCUUUGAUCGGUCGGAGGCUUGGACUUUGGAGCGUGCUGGCCCU
RNAcentral lists this unclassified non-coding RNA (450 nucleotides) under Amphinema sp. BS1710028. RNAcentral's name for it is "sequence contains 18S rRNA gene, ITS1, 5.8S rRNA gene, ITS2". The stretch from base 230 to 384 matches the Rfam family "5.8S ribosomal RNA". The record is from RNAcentral. Lineage: Eukaryota; Fungi; Basidiomycota; Agaricomycetes; Atheliales; Atheliaceae.